Molecule: ribosomal RNA, 2272 nt
Filed under: Muribaculaceae bacterium
Lineage: Bacteria; Pseudomonadati; Bacteroidota; Bacteroidia; Bacteroidales; Muribaculaceae
Description: partial 23S ribosomal RNA
Rfam family: Bacterial large subunit ribosomal RNA
Source: RNAcentral
GAAAAGGGCACAUGAAGGAUGCCUUGGCUCUCGGAGGCGAAGAAGGACGUGACAAGCUGCGAUAAGCCGUGCCCAGGGGCAAAUACCCGCCCAAGCACGGAUUUCCGAAUGGGGCAACCCGCCGCGGGCGACCGCGGCACCGCGCCAGGCGCGGGGCCAACCCGGGGAACUGAAACAUCUAAGUACCCGGAGGAAAAGAAAACAACAGUGAUUGCGCAAGUAGUGGCGAGCGAACGCGCACCAGCCCAAACCGGCCCUGUCACGGCAGGACCGGGGUUGAAGGACCGUCGCCGGCGCGACGAAGCGAGGUUAGCCGAACCGGCUGGAAAGCCGGGCCGCAGCGGGUGACAGCCCCGUAGGCGAAAACCUUGCCAGUCGCCAGACGGCACCUGAGUAGUGCGGGACACGAGAAAUCCUGCACGAAUCCGCGGGGACCAUCCCGCAAGGCUAAAUACUACCGAGAGACCGAUAGCGAACCAGUACCGUGAGGGAAAGGUGAAAAGAACCUCGAACAGAGGAGUGAAACAGACCCUGAAAUCAUGUGCCUACAAGCGGUCGGAGCGGCCAAGUGCCGUGACGGCGUGCCUUUUGCAUAAUGACCCUACGAGUUGCCCGUCCCGGCAAGGUUAAGGGCGAUCACGCCCGGAGCCGAAGCGAAAGCGAGUCAGAACAUGGCGUGUUAGUCAGGGCGGGCAGACGCGAAACCAAGUGAUCUACCCUUGGGCAGGUUGAAGGACAGGUAACACUGUCUGGAGGACCGAACCGGUAAGCGUUGAAAAGCUUUCGGAUGACCUGAGGGUAGGAGUGAAAGGCCAAUCAAACUUGGAGAUAGCUCGUACUCCCCGAAAUGCAUUUAGGUGCAGCCUCGGGCUUAGUACCGCGGAGGUAGAGCGACUGAUAGGAUGCGAGGGCUUCACCGCCUAUCAAGUCCUGACAAACUCCGAAUGCCGCGGCACGAUUCCCGGGAGUGAGGGCGCGGGUGCUAAGGUCCGCGUCCGAGAGAGGAACAACUCAGACCACCGGCCAAGGCCCCCAAAUACGGGCUAAGUUGAAGACCAUAACGAGGUGGGACCGCAGAGACAGCUAGGAUGUUGGCUUGGAAGCAGCCAUUCAUUUAAAGAGUGCGUAACAGCUCACUAGUCGAGUGGUCCCGCGUGGAUAAUAAUCGGGCAUAAGUCCGUUGCCGAAGCCGUGGAAUCCCGCACAGGCGGGAUUGGUAGGGGAGCAUUCCGGUAGCCGUCGAAGGCAUGGCGCGAGCCGUGCUGGAGGCCCCGGAAAAGCAAAUGUAGGGAUAAGUAACGACAAGGAGGGCGAGAAACCCUCCCGCCGUAAGACCAAGGGUUCCUGAUCAACGCUAAUCGGAUCAGGGUUAGUCGGGACCUAAGGCGGAGCCGCAAGGCGCAGCCGAUGGACAUAGGGUAAAAAAUCCCUAACCCUUGACAGAUGUGAUGCGGAGACGGAGAAGUGACACACCCGCGCACUGACGGAAUAGUGCGUUAAACCGCGUAGGUAUACCCGCCGGGGUAAGCAAACGGCGGGUGCUGAAACGGGACAGUACGGAGCGCCCCUCGGGGCAAUCCGACAGCGGUGGUAACCAUGCUCCCGAGAAAACCCGCUAAACCCCAGUCUGUCAAGGCCCGUACCGGAAACGGACACACGUGGUCGGGUAGAACAUACCAAGGCGCUCGAGAGAUUCACGGUUAAGGAACUAGGCAAACUGACCCCGUAACUUCGGGAUAAGGGGUCCCUCCCUCCGGGGAGGGCGCAGAGAAUAGGUCCAGGCAACUGUUUAACAAAAACACAGGGCUGUGCGAAAUUGAAAGACCAAGCAUACAGCCUGACACCUGCCCGGUGCCGGAAGGUUAAGAGGAGAUGUCAUCGCAAGAGAAGCAUUGAAUUGAAGCCCCGGUAAACGGCGGCCGUAACUAUAACGGUCCUAAGGUAGCGAAAUUCCUUGUCGGGUAAGUUCCGACCUGCACGAAUGGUGUAAUGAUCUGGACACUGUCUCAACCGUGAGCUCGGUGAAAUUGUAGUAUCGGUGAAGAUGCCGAUUACCCGCAACGGGACGGAAAGACCCCGUGAACCUUUACUGCAGCUUAGCACUGGGGCCGGGUGUGCGAUGUGUAGGAUAGUCAGGAGGCAGCGAAACGGGCACGCCAGUGUCCGGGGAGCCGACGUUGAAAUACUGACCUUCGCACAUUUGGCUUCUAACUCCCGGAGGGAGGACACUGCUUGGCGGGUAGUUUGACUGGGGUGGUCGCCUCCAAAAGAG